UUACAUCAGCAGUCAUCUACGUGAUAGAGUGUGGCUGGCACCCUGGUGUGCCCAAUGGGACAUCCUCCAAAACCUGGUGGCUAAUACACGUUCGCAGGGGUCUGCCAUGACACCAAACUGCUGAGACCCUGUGGCCCGACCAUCGGGACCCCCACAGGUGGUGGAUCGCACCCAGUCGCUGUGAAGACCAGCGCCAGGUCAAUGGCAGUGUGUUUUCGGCUGACUCAGGCUGGUCCCUCCUUGGGACACCGGCGCUGGCAGAGUGGUGGCCUCUAAAGCCACAGCAUGCUUGAUCGCACAAACUUCUGACCUAUCAGCUCAGGACUGUGGUGUAGUGGACCACAGUGGCCGCAACGGGUGACGGAGAAUUUGGGUUCGAUUCCGGAGAGGGAGCCUGAGAGACGGCUGCCACUACCAAGGUGGGCAGCAGGCGCGCAAAUUGCCCAAUACAGAAGCACCGUGUGAGGCAGCAACGAACAGCAGCAAUCCCGUUGGCGCCUCUAACGCCGGCGGGACUUGGAAUGGAUGCAAUCCAAACACCGUGAUGAGUACCAACUGGAGGGCAAGUCUGGUGCCAGCAGCUGCGGUAAUUCCAGCUCCAGUGGCGUAUACUAACAUUGCUGCGGUUGAAACGUUUGUAGUCGGCCUCUGGGCCCUGGUCUGCCAGGCGGCCAUGCCGUCGCCCGGAAGGCGGCCUUGGGUGUCAAAGCCCAUCCGCCCACGGGCGGCGGUUGGAACUCAACCCCUGGCAGUAUGGUCCAGUGCCCGCACUCAGAUGGUCAGAUCAGCUCCUGUGUGAAGUCCCCUUCGGUGGGGAUCGAAACGGUCGGUGCACCCAACACAUGCUUGGACGUCACAGGGGGUGUGGCCUCUCGGUGCCGCGCAGCCUCCCCUGUCCAUCACCGGAGUCUACCAUCGCAGUCACCGUGGAAAACUCAGUGUGCCCAAAGCAACCAGAACUGGCUGAAUGCUCCUCCAUGGAAUGUCACAGUAUCGACCGAAUGCGGCAAGAGAGUUGUGCUGGCCUUGGUGCCCAUCCCGGGCAACACGGUGCUGUCCCCUGGCGGAUCCUGGGCCCCCGACUGGCUCUAUCCGGGCCUGAGUGGGGGGGUGUCCCCAGCCCGCCAAGUGGUGGCAGCAUCUGACGCCCCAAAGGGGACCGUUCAGGGUGCAAGAGACUGCAACGCCAGAGGUGAAAUUCUUAGACCGCUGCAAGAUCAACAGCGGCGAAGGCGUUCUGCAAGGGCACGUUCAUUGAUCAAGAGCGAGAGCCUGGGGAUCGAAGACGAUCAGACACCGUCGUAGUCCAGUGCCGUAAACCAUGCCAGCUCGGCAACGGUGGGGAAAGUCAACCAACCCCAUCGGAGCCAUGCCCCCUGCAACGAGAAAUCCAAGCCUUUGGGUUCCGGGGGGAGUACUGUCGCAAGGCUGAAACUUAAAGGAAUUGACGGAAUGGCACCACAAGGUGUGGAGUAUGCGGCUUAAUUUGACUCAACACGGGGAAUGUUACCAGGUCAGGACGUUGCUGGGAUGGACAGAUUGAGAGCUCUUUCUUGAUCCUUCGGAUGGUGGUGCAUGGCCGCUCCUGAUUGGUGGAGUGAUUUGUCUGGUUGAUUCCGAUAACGAGUGAGAUAUCUACCUCCCACUGGCACCAGUCUCGCACAACUUCUGUAGGGUUCAUUGGCCGCCGUUCCCUGGGCGCAACCGGUGGGUCUUAUCCCCCAUCGACCGUCGAGGGGCGGCACAAGGCCACCCAAGAGGCUUGGCCCUUGCUUCUCUGAGGUGCUGUGUCCACUGCAAAGGGCAAGCAUGCUAGAGCCAACAGCAGGUCUGUGAUGCUCCCAGAUGUCCUGGGCCGCACGCGCACUACAUUGACUCAGUGAAGGUGUUCACCCUUGCUUUUCUGCCAAGGCCUGCCCCGAAGGGGGUGGGAAACCCUGCAAGCCUGAGCUGUACUGGGGAUAGAUGAUUGCAACUGUCUGCCUUGAACGAGGAAUACCUAGUAUGCGUGGGUCAUCAGCCCACACAGAUUGUGUCCCUGCC
RNAcentral lists this ribosomal RNA (2043 nucleotides) under Euglenaria caudata. RNAcentral describes it as "bacterial SSU rRNA". It matches the Rfam family "Eukaryotic small subunit ribosomal RNA", at positions 101 to 1657 of the family's 1831-position model. The record is from RNAcentral. Lineage: Eukaryota; Euglenozoa; Euglenophyceae; Euglenales; Euglenaceae.